Molecule: ribosomal RNA, 497 nt
Filed under: uncultured bacterium
Lineage: Bacteria
Description: bacterial SSU rRNA
Rfam family: Bacterial small subunit ribosomal RNA
Source: RNAcentral
AGAGUUUGAUCAUGGCUCAGAACGAACGCUGGUGGCGUGUCUUAUACAUGCAAGUCGAGCGAGGCAGCGAUGCCGAGCGGCGAACGGGUGAGUAACGCGUAAGCAAUCUGCCCCAUAUCAGGAAAUACCCGUGCCAACGCGCGGUUAAUGUCCAGGAGAGUGGCCCUCCGCAUGGAGGGUUGACUAGAGAUUUAUCGGUAUGGGAUGAGCUUGCGUCCGAUUAGCUAGUUGGCGGGUAACGGCCCACCAAGGCGACGAUCGGUAGCCGGCCUGAGAGGGUGAUCGGCCACAUUGGGACUGAGAUACGGCCCAGACUCCUACGGGAGGCAGCAGUAGGGAAUAUUGCACAAUGGGGGAAACCCUGAUGCAGCAACGCCACGUGUGGGAAGAAGCAUUUCGGUGUGUAAACCACUGUCAUGAGGGAAUAAGGCCCGCCUUCGGACGGGAUUGAAUGUACCUUGAGAGGAAGCACCGGCAAACUUCGUGCCAGCAGCGGC